RNAcentral lists this ribosomal RNA (373 nucleotides) under Sibon irmelindicaprioae. RNAcentral's name for it is "partial large subunit ribosomal RNA". It matches the Rfam family "Bacterial large subunit ribosomal RNA", at positions 2006 to 2594 of the family's 2925-position model. The record is from RNAcentral. Lineage: Eukaryota; Metazoa; Chordata; Lepidosauria; Squamata; Dipsadidae.
GCGGGCCUAUCUGUCUCUUACAAUAAAUCAAUUAAACUGAUCUUCUAGUAAAAAAGCUAGAAUCCACACACAAGACCAGAAGACCCUGUGAAGCUUAAACUAAACUAUUAAACCCUAUAAUAUCUACUUUAGGUUGGGGCGACCUUGGAAAAAAAAAGAACUUCCAAACACAUGACCACACUCAUUCAUCAGGCCCACAAGCCUCAUAAAAGACCCAGUACGACUGAUAAUUGAACCAAGUUACUCCAGGGAUAACAGCGCUAUCUUCUUCAAGAGUCCAUAUCAAAAAGAAGGUUUACGACCUCGAUGUUGGAUCAGGACAUCCUAACGGUGCAGUCGCUGUUAAGGGUUCGUUUGUUCAACGAUUAAUAGU